RNAcentral lists this ribosomal RNA (492 nucleotides) under uncultured bacterium. RNAcentral's name for it is "partial 16S ribosomal RNA". It matches the Rfam family "Bacterial small subunit ribosomal RNA", at positions 29 to 507 of the family's 1533-position model. The record is from RNAcentral.
AGUGAACGCUGGCGGUAGGCCUAACACAUGCAAGUCGAACGGCAGCACAGUAAGAGCUUGCUCUUACGGGUGGCGAGUGGCGGACGGGUGAGGAAUACAUCGGAAUCUACUUUUUCGUGGGGGAUAACGUAGGGAAACUUACGCUAAUACCGCAUACGACCUACGGGUGAAAGCAGGGGAUCUUCGGACCUUGCGCGAUUGAAUGAGCCGAUGUCGGAUUAGCUAGUUGGCGGGGUAAAGGCCCACCAAGGCGACGAUCCGUAGCUGGUCUGAGAGGAUGAUCAGCCACACUGGAACUGAGACUCGGUCCAGACUCCUACGGGAGGCAGCAGUGGGGAAUAUUGGACAAUGGGCGCAAGCCUGAUCCACCCAUACCGCGUGGGUGAAGAAGGCCUUCGGGUUGUAAAGCCCUUUUGUUGGGAAAGAAAAGCAGCAGGUUAAUACCCCGCUGUUCUGACGGUACCCAAAGAAUAAGCACCGGCUAACUUCGUG